CACCCGCUAGCACAUGGAGUGCAUCUGCGCGAUUUAAAUGAGUGUCCUUCAUCUACUCGCAGAAGGUCCCCCGUUCGAUUCGGGGGUGGGUGA
This is a non-coding RNA of Mycena galericulata, 93 nucleotides long. The record is from the annotation of a GenBank genome assembly. Lineage: Eukaryota; Fungi; Basidiomycota; Agaricomycetes; Agaricales; Mycenaceae.